Molecule: long non-coding RNA, 345 nt
Organism: Suricata suricatta (meerkat)
Lineage: Eukaryota; Metazoa; Chordata; Mammalia; Carnivora; Herpestidae
Exons: 3
Source: RefSeq, a predicted model, not a curated record
GGCAAUUAAAACAAUACCAGAGAUCAGAUGUGACUCUACGAGGGAAAAGUGGCCCCUGGCACCAUCUUUCCACCCUGAUGCAUCAAGUUUCAGGUGUACAAUGUAAUGAUUCGGCAGAAAGUAAAGGUUUUGGAUUUUCACACUUCUGAAUUUAAUCAGAGCAGCUGUAGAAGUGGAAAAACCUUGUGGCUUACAGACUCAAUAGAAUCUAGUUAAGGGGAGAGAAGAUUAAUCUCCAAGACUCCCUCUGAACCUAAGAGCCCCGAAAGUCACAUACACUAUCGGUCAUGUCAUCCAGAAAAGUGAGAGACUCUUUCCCAAACCUCACCAAAUGCUUUUCCCUAA